UAAGCGUACCGGAAGGUGUGCUUGGAACGAAAUGUAGUUUAAUUAAAACCCCUUGCUUACACCAAGAUUAUAUCUGUGAGACCCAGAUCAUUUCGAGCCUAACCUUUAGCCCACUACCACCUAAUAUUUUAUUAACAAAACCCCACCCCUAAAACAUUCUUACACUUUAGUAAAGGCGAUCGAAAAACUUCUAAGAGCUAUAAUUAGUACCGCAAGGGAACAAUGAAAUAGAAAUGAAAUAAUCCUAAAGCACCAUAAAGUAGAGCCCACACCUCGUACCUUUUGCAUCAUGAUCUAACUAGUCCAAUCAAGCAAAAAGAACUAUAGUUUGACCCCCCGAAACUAAGCGAGCUACCCCGGGGCAACUUAUAGAGCCCACCCGUCUCUGUGGCAAAAGAGUGGGGAGACCCCCAGGUAGAGGUGAUAAACCUACCGAGCCUAGUUAUAGCUGGUUCCUCAAGAAAAGGAUAUUAGUCCUACCUUAAAUAACUGCAACACACCAAAGUUACCCACAAAUUUAAGAGCUAUUCAAAUAAGGUACAGCUUAUUUGACACAGGAUUCAACCUACUAAUAAGGGUAAUGACCACCAACGUGCACAAGUAGGCCUAAAAGCAGCCACCUUUAAAAUAGCGUCAUAGCUUUAUCACCCUAAUACCUAAAUUCCCAAACCAACACAAAACCCUAACACACUAUUGAGCGACUCUAUGUCUCAUAGAAGCCACUAUGCUAGAACUAGUAACAUGAUUAACAUCUCUCUAGAGCAAGUGUCCGUCAGAACGAAACCCCCGCUGAUCAUCAACGCCCAUGAACCCCUCGUACCAACGCAACAAGAAAAUCGUACUACCUUAAACGUUAACCUAACACAAGAGCCCUACGAGAAAGAUUAAAAGAAGUGGAAGGAACUCGGCAAAAUUUAGCCCCGCCUGUUUACCAAAAACACCGCCUCUUGCAAAAAAUAAGAGGUCCAGCCUGCCCAGUGACCCUGUUCAACGGCCGCGGUAUUCUGACCGUGCGAAGGUAGCGUAAUCACUUGUUCUUUAAAUAAGGACUGGUAUGAAUGGCAUCACGAGGGCUUUACUGUCUCCCACCUCCAAUCAGUGAAACUAAUCUCCCCGUGAAGAAGCGGGGAUAUACAUACUAGACGAGAAGACCCCAUGGAGCUUUAGACAUGCGACGCCCACCAUAAAUUAAUUAACCUAAUCGCUAGUCUUCGAUUGGGGCGAUCACGGAGUAUAAUUUACCCUCCACGUUGAAAGACUAUAUCUUAGCCUAAGACUACCAUCUUAAGCAUCAACAACUUGACACCCAUUGACCCAGUUAAUCUGAGCAACGAACCAAGUUACCCUGGGGAUAACAGCGCAAUCCACUUCAAGAGCCCAUAUCGACAAGCGGGUUUACGACCUCGAUGUUGGAUCAGGGUACCCCAGUGGUGCAGCCGCUACUAACGGUUCGUUUGUUCAACGAUUAAAACCCU
This 1475-nucleotide ribosomal RNA is filed under the name Taudactylus acutirostris (sharp-snouted torrent frog). Its description in RNAcentral is "partial 16S ribosomal RNA". It matches the Rfam family "Bacterial large subunit ribosomal RNA", at positions 334 to 2597 of the family's 2925-position model. Lineage: Eukaryota; Metazoa; Chordata; Amphibia; Anura; Myobatrachidae. The record is from RNAcentral.